UACAGAGGGGGCAAGCGUUGUUCGGAAUUACUGGGCGUAAAGGGCGCGUAGGCGGCCUGUUAAGUCGAACGUGAAAUCCCCGGGCUCAACCCGGGAACUGCGUCCGAUACUGGCAGGCUUGAAUCCGGGAGAGGGAUGCGGAAUUCCAGGUGUAGCGGUGAAAUGCGUAGAUAUCUGGAGGAACACCGGUGGCGAAGGCGGCAUCCUGGACCGGUAUUGACGCUGAGGCGCGAAAGCCAGGGGGAGCAAAACGGGG
Molecule: ribosomal RNA, 256 nt
Filed under: uncultured bacterium
Lineage: Bacteria
Description: partial 16S ribosomal RNA
Rfam family: Bacterial small subunit ribosomal RNA
Source: RNAcentral